GUAGCGGUGAAAUGCGUAGAGAUCUGAAGGAAUACCGGUGGCGAAGGCGGCCCCCUGGACAGAUACUGACACUCAGAUGCGAAAGCGUGGGGAGCAAACAGGAUUAGAUACCCUGGUAGUCCACGCCGUAAACGAUGUCUACUUGGAGGUUGUGGCCUUGAGCCGUGGCUUUCGGAGCUAACGCGUUAAGUAGACCGCCUGGGGAGUACGGUCGCAAGAUUAAA
RNAcentral lists this ribosomal RNA (224 nucleotides) under Vibrio parahaemolyticus. Its description in RNAcentral is "partial 16S ribosomal RNA". It matches the Rfam family "Bacterial small subunit ribosomal RNA", at positions 675 to 898 of the family's 1533-position model. Lineage: Bacteria; Pseudomonadati; Pseudomonadota; Gammaproteobacteria; Vibrionales; Vibrionaceae. The record is from RNAcentral.